RNAcentral lists this small RNA (83 nucleotides) under Marmota monax (woodchuck). Lineage: Eukaryota; Metazoa; Chordata; Mammalia; Rodentia; Sciuridae. The record is from RNAcentral.
GCCAGGUGCAGUGGUGGACACCUGUAAUCCCAGCAGCAUGGGAGGCUGAGGCAGGAGGAUCAAGAGUUCAAAACCAGCCUCAG